This 2519-nucleotide ribosomal RNA is filed under the name Listeria monocytogenes. RNAcentral describes it as "partial 23S ribosomal RNA". It matches the Rfam family "Bacterial large subunit ribosomal RNA", at positions 408 to 2925 of the family's 2925-position model. Lineage: Bacteria; Bacillati; Bacillota; Bacilli; Caryophanales; Listeriaceae. The record is from RNAcentral.
CUGAGUACGGCGGAACACGUGAAAUUCCGUCGGAAUCCGGGAGGACCAUCUCCCAAGGCUAAAUACUCCCUAGUGACCGAUAGUGAACCAGUACCGUGAGGGAAAGGUGAAAAGCACCCCGGAAGGGGAGUGAAACAGUUCCUGAAACCGUGUGCCUACAAGUAGUUAGAGCCCGUUAAUGGGUGAUAGCGUGCCUUUUGUAGAAUGAACCGGCGAGUUACGAUUUGUUGCAAGGUUAAGCGGAAAAAGCGGAGCCGUAGCGAAAGCGAGUCUGAAUAGGGCGCAUAAGUAACAGGUCGUAGACCCGAAACCAGGUGAUCUACCCAUGUCCAGGAUGAAGGUAAGGUAAUACUUACUGGAGGUCCGAACCCACGCACGUUGAAAAGUGCGGGGAUGAGGUGUGGGUAGCGGAGAAAUUCCAAUCGAACUUGGAGAUAGCUGGUUCUCUCCGAAAUAGCUUUAGGGCUAGCCUCGAGGUAAAGAGUCAUGGAGGUAGAGCACUGUUUGGACUAGGGGCCCUUCUCGGGUUACCGAAUUCAGAUAAACUCCGAAUGCCAUGUACUUAUACUCGGGAGUCAGACUGCGAGUGAUAAGAUCCGUAGUCGAAAGGGAAACAGCCCAGACCACCAGUUAAGGUCCCCAAAUAUAUGUUAAGUGGAAAAGGAUGUGGGGUUGCUUAGACAACCAGGAUGUUGGCUUAGAAGCAGCCACCAUUGAAAGAGUGCGUAAUAGCUCACUGGUCGAGUGACCCCGCGCCGAAAAUGUACCGGGGCUAAACAUAUUACCGAAACUGUGGAUGAACCUCUUUAGAGGUUCGUGGUAGGAGAGCGUUCUAAGGGCGGUGAAGUCAGACCGGAAGGACUGGUGGAGCGCUUAGAAGUGAGAAUGCCGGUAUGAGUAGCGAAAGAAGGGUGAGAAUCCCUUCCACCGAAUAUCUAAGGUUUCCUGAGGAAGGCUCGUCCGCUCAGGGUUAGUCGGGACCUAAGCCGAGGCCGAUAGGCGUAAGCGAUGGACAACAGGUAGAGAUUCCUGUACCAGUGCUAAUUGUUUAACCGAUGGGGUGACACAGAAGGAUAGGGAAUCGCACGAAUGGAAAUGUGCGUCCAAGCAGUGAGUGUGAGAAGUAGGCAAAUCCGCUUCUCGCGAAGCAUGAGCUGUGAUGGGGAAGGAAAUUAAGUACGGAAGUUCCUGAUUUCACGCUGUCAAGAAAAGCCUCUAGGAAGAGUAGUACUGCCCGUACCGCAAACCGACACAGGUAGAUGAGGAGAGAAUCCUAAGGUGAGCGAGAGAACUCUCGUUAAGGAACUCGGCAAAAUGACCCCGUAACUUCGGGAGAAGGGGUGCUCUAUUAGGGUGCAAGCCCGAGAGAGCCGCAGUGAAUAGGCCCAGGCGACUGUUUAGCAAAAACACAGGUCUCUGCAAAACCGUAAGGUGACGUAUAGGGGCUGACGCCUGCCCGGUGCUGGAAGGUUAAGAGGAGUGCUUAGCUUCGGCGAAGGUACGAAUUGAAGCCCCAGUAAACGGCGGCCGUAACUAUAACGGUCCUAAGGUAGCGAAAUUCCUUGUCGGGUAAGUUCCGACCCGCACGAAAGGCGCAACGAUCUGGGCACUGUCUCAACGAGAGACUCGGUGAAAUUAUAGUACCUGUGAAGAUGCAGGUUACCCGCGACAGGACGGAAAGACCCCGUGGAGCUUUACUGCAACCUGAUAUGGAAUGUUUGUACCGCUUGUACAGGAUAGGUAGGAGCCGAAGAGACGUGUGCGCUAGCAUACGAGGAGGCAAUGGUGGGAUACUACCCUGGCUGUAUGACCAUUCUAACCCGCCACGCUUAGCGCGUGGGGAGACAGUGUCAGGUGGGCAGUUUGACUGGGGCGGUCGCCUCCUAAAGAGUAACGGAGGCGCCCAAAGGUUCCCUCAGAAUGGAUGGAAAUCAUUCGCAGAGUGUAAAGGCACAAGGGAGCUUGACUGCGAGACUGACAAGUCGAGCAGGGACGAAAGUCGGGCUUAGUGAUCCGGUGGUUCCGCAUGGAAGGGCCAUCGCUCAACGGAUAAAAGCUACCCCGGGGAUAACAGGCUUAUCUCCCCCAAGAGUCCACAUCGACGGGGAGGUUUGGCACCUCGAUGUCGGCUCGUCGCAUCCUGGGGCUGUAGUCGGUCCCAAGGGUUGGGCUGUUCGCCCAUUAAAGCGGCACGCGAGCUGGGUUCAGAACGUCGUGAGACAGUUCGGUCCCUAUCCGUCGCGGGCGCAGGAAAUUUGAGAGGAGCUGUCCUUAGUACGAGAGGACCGGGAUGGACACACCGCUGGUGUACCAGUUGUUCCGCCAGGAGCAUCGCUGGGUAGCUAUGUGUGGCAGGGAUAAACGCUGAAAGCAUCUAAGCGUGAAGCCCCCCUCAAGAUGAGAUUUCCCAUUUCUUCGGAAAGUAAGAUCCCUGAAAGAUGAUCAGGUAGAUAGGUUUGGAGUGGAAGUGUAGCGAUACAUGGAGCGGACAAAUACUAAUCGAUCGAGGACUUAACCAA